UGUUGUUCUUAGGUUUAAACUUCAUUUGAUGGUGUGAAUGAUGAUACAAGAGAAGCAAGAUUGAUGCUUCUUGACUUGGUGGCUAAGGGAUUGAUUACUAAAUCUACUACAAAACUUUGAACAGAUCAUGAGGUACAUAUGAUAACUUACUUUUUAUUUUCCAAAGGUCUUUGAGUAAAUUGCUAGCCCGUAUGUAUUAUUAACCAUUAUUUCCAGUUUUAAUUUGCCAUCAGCUAGAAAAUCCUAAUGACUUGCCUGACGCCAUUAUUCAAGUUGUAGGAAAAUUUUUAAAUUUUGGUGUCUAUGUUCAAAAAGAGCACAUUGUUUAUGGACCUGAGAUUUACAUGGUUGGUAAGGUAUUUAAAGAGAGAAAUGAAUGCUUAACCGAUGAAGUCACUCAAACAGAAUCCUUCUUAGAAAAGGGAUUGACAUUUACAAGUGGUGAAGAGAGUGCUUUACAUUUACUGAUGAUUAAGAUAACAAUGAGGUAAUGUCUACGCCAUUCAGUAGGUGCACCUGACAUAUCUUCAUCGACUAGGAAAGUUUUCUUCAAAACAAGUUAUGUUUGGAGACGAAGAAGAAGAUGGAGUUUAAGUUUUCUUUUUUUGUUUUUUUGAACUUUUAGGUAUUAUUUGUUUUUGGGGUUACAGUUUUUGUUUUGUAAUUUUCUAAAUUUAAUAAUAUUGAAUUUAUGUUUAAUUUAAUUUUUAUUAGAUAUUGGUUUUAUUAUUUAAUAUGGACCUUUCGCAGACAUCUUUAAACAUAACUUUUAAAAAAUCAGAAAUCCCAACAUAUCGGCAGUGAGCUUUCUCAUACUAAUAUAUGAAUCUAUUAUGGCCCAAAUAACAUAUACGCGUUGUAAGUGUCUUUAUUGUUCAACUGAAAUACCAUAAGUCUAUAAAACUUUUUAUAUAUAACAAUUUUUAUUGAUACUAUUUCUACGAACCCUAAUAUCAAUCUUCUUCUUUCGGUCCUCCAAAUCCCAUAUGUGAAAACAAGUGACGAUGGUAGACAACAUAAACUUCAGAACAAGUGAGGAGGCUUAUGCAAUGGGGAAAAUGGAAAGUAAAGAGCAUCAUCGGGCGAUUCUCGCUAUGUAUAAGGAUCAAACGAAUGCCAUGGCUGCCAAGCAUGAUGAGGAGAUUGAAGUGAAAUGUAUUGAAGCCAAGCUGGAUAAUUUACGAACUCAUUCUGUUGUCAGCCCUGAAGUCUAAGAAAUAAAAGCUUGAAAUCUUAAACUUGCACAUGCGAAUGUGGAUGAUGUGAAGGUUCUUAAUAUCGAUAGGUUGAAGAUGGGUGAGCCAAAUAUGUAUGAUUAAUCUCUUGGCUUUCUAAAUCUAAAAUUUCUUAGUAAUUAUAAAAUUGUAUGUACUUUUUCCCAGCAUUAUUUGGAACCAA
Long non-coding RNA from Raphanus sativus (radish), 1398 nucleotides. RefSeq lists it as uncharacterized. Lineage: Eukaryota; Viridiplantae; Streptophyta; Magnoliopsida; Brassicales; Brassicaceae. The transcript has 3 exons. The record is from RefSeq and is a predicted model, not a curated record.